RNAcentral lists this ribosomal RNA (513 nucleotides) under uncultured bacterium. Its description in RNAcentral is "partial 16S ribosomal RNA". It matches the Rfam family "Bacterial small subunit ribosomal RNA", at positions 28 to 523 of the family's 1533-position model. The record is from RNAcentral.
GAUGAACGCUGGCGGCGUGCCUAAUACAUGCAAGUCGAACGCGCAGCGAAAGGUGCUUGCACCUUUCAAGCGAGUGGCGAACGGGUGAGUAACACGUGGAUAACCUGCCUCAAGGCUGGGGAUAACAUUUGGAAACAGAUGCUAAUACCGAAUAAAACUUAGUAUCGCAUGAUACAAAGUUAAAAGGCGCUACGGCGUCACCUAGAGAUGGAUCCGCGGUGCAUUAGUUAGUUGGUGGGGUAAAGGCUUACCAAGACGAUGAUGCAUAGCCGAGUUGAGGGACUGAUCGGCCACAUUGGGACGGAGACACGGCCCAAACUCCUACGGGAGGCUGCAGUAGGGAAUCUUCCACAAUGGGCGCAAGCCUGAUGGAGCAACGCCGCGUGUGUGAUGAAGGCUUUCGGGUCGUAAAGCACUGUUGUAUGGGAAGAAAUGCUAAAAUAGGGAAUGAUUUUAGUUUGACGGUACCAUACCAGAAAGGGACGGCUAAAUACGUGCCAGCAGCCGCCGUAA